Molecule: unclassified non-coding RNA, 1684 nt
Filed under: Leishmania donovani
Lineage: Eukaryota; Euglenozoa; Kinetoplastea; Trypanosomatida; Trypanosomatidae
Description: gene:unknown
Source: RNAcentral
UCCCUUCUACGCCAGCCAGUGCGCUCAUCAGUCCCUGCGGAAAGGGCUGCCUUCUUUUCUUUUGUAGUGUCUUUCCUUGUGCCUUUUCAUCUAUCCUUUCACGCUGUUCUCGGGGCAUCGGUUCGUCGAAAUCGGGGGGAGGGGUGGGCGAUCAAGCUUCUUUUUCCUUCUCAAGUGGAAGCCAGAUCUUUGUUUCACCUGUCAGUGCUACUUCUAGAUUGUAUUUUCUUCGAGAAAAGGGCCCCCAGCGACCUCAUGGUCCCUUCUCUCUCGCUAUUGUCACUGUCCCUGUUUGCAGAAUAAGUCCACCCCCCCUCCAGCACUGCGCAUUCGGCACCCCAGUGAGGCAGGAAGCUGGAAGGACGGGUGACUCCGCACUCUCGUCCGUACUUAGACAGAGAAUCUAAGUGCAUCGAUGCCCUUAUAUGAAAGACGCACUCGAUUCCUACCGGUGUGGCCCUCGGUGUAAGCGGCUCGAUCACACACACACACGCACACCUCCCCCAGAAGUCGAGUCCACGGAGACGAAUGUGCCGACUCGUUUGAUGGCCUCGAUGUCGCUCUCUCAUUUUUCUUCCCUGCCUCAGGCUAGCGAAGAAAAGGGAGUAGUUCCAUACACGCCUCCUGCAGCUGGGGUGCGACUUCCAUGCCACCGCGUUUUUAUUCCCACAUUUUUCUUUCGUUGCUUCUGUGCUUCCCCUUCCCCUCCCCCCCCGUACCCCCUUGCCAUAAUUUGGUUUGUGCCUGCUCUCUUUUUGAAGCGGACACUCUCUCAGUCGUUUCUGUUCUUUCACAAGGACAACGGGCGUCGUUUUUCUCUCGUGCUCGUGUGCUUCGCUGGGUUGGUAAUACGAUGACUAACACCUCUUCCCUCCCCUCCUAUAUUCAUAAACCCCUCUUUGCCUCGCCCCCAUAGGUGCUGUUCUUUUCGACGUUGCUUGUUUCGCGGGUGUGUCGAAGUUCUGUUUCGGCCCACCCCCACCCCUGCUUCUGUCGUCUUCUAUACCCCUCCCCCACCUCCAUCCCUUUCACAUCCUCCUCCCCCCUCCCGCUUCGAUAUAUAUAUAUAUAUUUCUUGCUAUCCUUUUCCCCUUGAUGAUGACACACUGCACACCAAAAGCAGAAGCGAAACCAUCGCGUUCGGCAAGUCGAUGUACGCUGAGCAACGCAGCCGCACGCGAGUGUAUGUGGAGAUACAAAUACCCUGAUACACGUCCUCCCUUCACGAGUGCACUCGGAUGUUCUCUCGCGUGAGGAGUAGGUUUCGAUCCUUACCAAACACAUCAUGAACGGAAACAGAAAAGCAGGCUAAUAACAGAAACGAAUAAGAGCAAUGGAUUGAACGGAGGACUUGUCGUUUUUUCGUGAGUGUGUCGCUCUCGCGCCCUCAUUCACUCCUCUCUCCCUCCCUCCAGCCUUUUCGUUUUUUUUUUGAUUUACUCGGUUUUCUGUGUCGUUAGCGACUCUCAAGCUCGUCCUCUGUCGCGUGUUUUCUGGCCGUCACGCACGAUCUCCUGUCUCUAUACAGGCGAGAAACUUAUCACCACCACCAAGCCGGGGCUCUUCUUCUUUUCCCUCCUCUCCCUCUAUAACCCCCCCACCCAGCUUUCACCUCCUUUACCCCCCCACCUCUCGCCGCUUUUGCCGCUGGUGUACCUCUCUCCCUUUCGCCAGGGCAAGAAAC